This 329-nucleotide unclassified non-coding RNA is filed under the name soil metagenome. Its description in RNAcentral is "partial contains 5.8S ribosomal RNA, internal transcribed spacer 2, and large subunit ribosomal RNA". The stretch from base 1 to 120 matches the Rfam family "5.8S ribosomal RNA", at positions 35 to 154 of the family's 154-position model. The record is from RNAcentral.
GAUGAAGAACGUAGUGAAAUGCGAUAAGUAAUGUGAAUUGCAGAACUCAGUGAAUCAUCGAAUCUUUGAACGCACAUUGCGCCCCCUGGUAUUCCGGGGGGCAUGCCUGUCCGAGCGUCAUUACAACCCUCAAGCUCAGCUUGGUGUUGGGCCCCGCCGCCCCGGCGGGCCCUAAAGUCAGUGGCGGUGCCGUCCGGCUCCGAGCGUAGUAAUUCUUCUCGCUCUGGAGGUCCGGUCGUGUGCUCGCCAGCAACCCCCAAUUUUUUUCAGGUUGACCUCGGAUCAGGUAGGGAUACCCGCUGAACUUAAGCAUAUCAAUAAGCGGAGGA